UACGUAGGGUGCGAGCGUUGUCCGGAAUUACUGGGCGUAAAGAGCUCGUAGGUGGUUUGUCACGUCGUCUGUGAAAUUCCGGGGCUUAACCUCGGGCGUGCAGGCGAUACGGGCAAUACUUGAGUGCUGUAGGGGCGACUGGAAUUCCUGGUGUAGCGGUGAAAUGCGCAGAUAUCAGGAGGAACACCAAUGGCGAAGGCAGGUCUCUGGGCAGUUACUGACGCUGAGGAGCGAAAGCAUGGGUAGCGAACAGGAUUAGA
Molecule: ribosomal RNA, 260 nt
Filed under: uncultured prokaryote
Description: partial 16S ribosomal RNA
Rfam family: Bacterial small subunit ribosomal RNA
Source: RNAcentral